Molecule: ribosomal RNA, 500 nt
Filed under: uncultured Glomeromycotina
Lineage: Eukaryota; Fungi; Glomeromycota
Description: partial small subunit ribosomal RNA
Rfam family: Eukaryotic small subunit ribosomal RNA
Source: RNAcentral
CCAAUAGCGUAUAUUAAAGUUGUUGCAGUUAAAAAGCUCGUAGUUGAAUUUCGGGAUCAAUAGGUCGGUCGUGCCUCCGGUACGUACUGGUGUUAUUGAUUUCUCCUUUCUGAUGAGCCAUGAUGCCAUUAAUUUGGUGUUGUGGGGAGUCAGGACUGUUACUUUGAAAAAAUUAGAGUGUUUAAAGCAGGCAUACGCUUGAAUACAUUAGCAUGGAAUAAUGAAAUAGGACGUUCGAACCUAUUUUGUUGGCUUCUAGGAUCAACGUAAUGAUUAAUAGGGAUAGUUGGGGGCAUUAGUAUUCAAUUGUCAGAGGUGAAAUUCUUGGAUUUAUUGAAGACUAACUACUGCGAAAGCAUUUGCCAAGGAUGUUUUCAUUAAUCAAGAACGAAAGUUAGGGGAUCGAAGACGAUCAGAUACCGUCGUAGUCUUAACCAUAAACUAUGCCGACUAGGGAUCGGAUGAUGUUAAUUAUUUAAUGACUCAUUCGGCGCCUUACG